RNAcentral lists this ribosomal RNA (254 nucleotides) under uncultured prokaryote. RNAcentral's name for it is "partial 16S ribosomal RNA". It matches the Rfam family "Bacterial small subunit ribosomal RNA", at positions 524 to 776 of the family's 1533-position model. The record is from RNAcentral.
AACGUAGGAGACAAACGUUAUCCGGAGUUACUGGGCGUAAAGGGCGUGUAGGCGGUCAGCACAAGUCAGUUGUGAAAUCUCCGGGCUUAACUCGGAAAGGUCAACUGAUACUGUGCGACUAGAGUGCAGAAGGGGCAACUGGAAUUCUCGGUGUAGCGGUGAAAUGCGUAGAUAUCGAGAGGAACACCUGCGGCGAAGGCGGGUUGCUGGGCUGACACUGACGCUGAUGCGCGAAAGCCAGGGGAGCGAACGGG